Molecule: non-coding RNA, 964 nt
Organism: Hydra vulgaris (swiftwater hydra)
Lineage: Eukaryota; Metazoa; Cnidaria; Hydrozoa; Anthoathecata; Hydridae
Source: RefSeq, a predicted model, not a curated record
UGUAUCGUCUAAUACUUUGUUAAUAAAUAAAUUAUUGUUUUUCAAUCUCAGAUUUAUUUACUAUUAGUUACUUAUUUUUUAGACAAUUUAGAUAACGCUUGUAAGUAAAUUUUGUUUUUAGAUUUAAAAAAUUUAAUAUGCAAUAUAUAUGUAAAAUCUAAUUUGAAUAUAUAGUUUGUGUAUAUGAAGCACAAACUUGAAAAUUGUAUUAUUACUAAUUUUUUUUAUAAAUAGGUUUAUAAUUAUUGUUAUUCUUUAGUUAAACCUUCAUCAAGUCCCUUAAUGAUUGUCCCAGCUACAACUACAGAUAUCGUUAAUUUGCUAUUCAGGCUUGAAACUCAAAAAUAUAUAUAAUUUCAAUAUGUCAUUAUGGUUUACCUAAUAAUUUUAAUUGUUAUCUUUAGCUGUAUCUCCAGAUUCCAAUACUGUUGUUGCUUCAACUUCUAACAUAGCAGGCUCUUCAGUUGACAAUUCUGGUAAGUAUUAAGAUUAUCUGGAUAAUCUUGAUGACUUUUCUAGAAAAAUGGUAGUUCAGUAGUUUAUUCAGGCAGCACAUAAAAAACGAAUAAAAACUCGACAGCACAUAAAAAACGAAUAAAAACAUACUGAAAUUAGAGCUAAGAUUUCUAAAAGACAGACUAUAAAAGACAGACUAUAAAAGACACUAUAAAACGCCAAAAAAUUGAUGAAAAAGAAAAAAAAAAGUUAGAGCAACAAUUAACAUUAUUAACUAUCAGUGAAAUUCUGAAUUUGUUUAAAAACUCAUCUACUAAGCAAAUUGAUGAUUUAAAUGAUGUUAUGAGUGAAAGAAUUGUUGGGAGAAAACUUUGCCAUGAAUGGUAUGAUUUAGUGAUGUACCGAUAUCACUUUUUUGGCCGAUGCCGAUACCCAUGCCGAUGAAUGGGAACAGGCCGAUGCCGAUACCGAUGAAUUAACUAAUUAUUAAAAAUUUAAAAAUAUAAAA